GUCUAAAUCAGAUUCUAACUGAAAAACCGGUAAUGAGAUCUUCCUUGAAUGGUGGUCAAACUAACUUUGCUUGCAUUUUGCAACUCGGUAGAACCUUCACAAUCAAAUGUUGCUGUAGGAAUAAAACUCUUUGUUUCUAUUACUUUUGUAUCACAAAAGGAUUUGGAAAGUAACUUCAACCUGUUUUUACAGAUUUAAGCCAUAAUUAUGAUGCAAAAAAUAAGAGGUACCUGAUUGGUGCCUUAAUCUAGUACCGG
Molecule: unclassified non-coding RNA, 257 nt
Filed under: Hevea brasiliensis (rubber tree)
Lineage: Eukaryota; Viridiplantae; Streptophyta; Magnoliopsida; Malpighiales; Euphorbiaceae
Source: RNAcentral